RNAcentral lists this ribosomal RNA (494 nucleotides) under uncultured bacterium. Its description in RNAcentral is "partial 16S ribosomal RNA". It matches the Rfam family "Bacterial small subunit ribosomal RNA", at positions 28 to 507 of the family's 1533-position model. The record is from RNAcentral.
GACGAACGCUGGCGGCGUGCUUAACACAUGCAAGUCGAACGGUGAAGCGCCUUCCUUUUUGGUGGGUGUGGAUGAGUGGCGAACGGGUGAGUAACACGUGAGUAACCUGCCCCCUUCUUCUGGAUAACCGCAUGAAAGUGUGGCUAAUACGGGAUAUUCUGGGUCUGUCGCAUGAUGGGUCUGGGAAAGAUAUUGUUUCGGUUGUGGAUGGGCUCGCGGCCUAUCAGCUUGUUGGUGGGGUGAUGGCCUACCAAGGCGGUGACGGGUAGCCGGCCUGAGAGGGUGGACGGUCACACUGGGACUGCGCGACGGACAAGACUACUACGGGCGGCAGCAGUGGGGAAUAUUGCACAAUGGGAGCAAGCCUGAUGCAGCGCCGCCGCGUGAGGGAUGGAGGCCUUCGGGUUGUGAACCUCUUUCGCCAGUGAAGCAGGCCUGCCUUGUUUGUGCGCGGGUUGACGGUAGCUGGAUAAGAAGCGCCGGCUAACUACGUG